RNAcentral lists this ribosomal RNA (752 nucleotides) under uncultured bacterium. RNAcentral describes it as "bacterial SSU rRNA". It matches the Rfam family "Bacterial small subunit ribosomal RNA", at positions 8 to 796 of the family's 1533-position model. The record is from RNAcentral.
AGAGUUUGAUCAUGGCUCAGAACGAACGCUGGCGGCAUGCCUAACACAUGCAAGUCGAACGUGAUCCAGGCUUCGGCCUGGUGAAAGUGGCAGACAGGUGAGUAACGCGUGGGAACCUGCCCUGUGGUAGGGAAUAACCGUGGGAAACUGCGGCUAGUACCCUAUGAGUCCUUCGGGAGAAAGAUUUAUCGCCAUAGGAGGGGCCCGCGUCGGAUUAGGUAGUUGGUGGGGUAACGGCCUACCAAGCCUUCGAUCCGUAGCUGGUCUGAGAGGAUGAUCAGCCACACUGGGACUGAGAUACGGCCCAGACUCCUACGGGAGGCAGCAGUGGGGAAUAUUGGACAAUGGGGGCAACCCUGAUCCAGCAAUGCCGCGUGGAUGAUGAAGGCCUUCGGGUUGUAAAGUCCUUUCGGCGGGGAAGAUGAUGACGGUACCCGCAGAAGAAGCCCCGGCUAACUUCGUGCCAGCAGCCGCGGUAAUACGAAGGGGGCUAGCGUUGUUCGGAAUUACUGGGCGUAAAGGGCGCGUAGGCUGUGCUGUAAGUCAGGCGUGAAAGCCCCGGGCUCAACCUGGGAAUUGCGCUUGAUACUGCGGCGCUGGAAGGUGGGAGAGGAUGGCGGAAUUCCCAGUGUAGAGGUGAAAUUCGUAGAUAUUGGGAAGAACACCGGUGGCGAAGGCGGCCAUCUGGCCCACAAUUGACGCUGAGGCGCGAAAGCGUGGGGAGCAAACAGGAUUAGAUACCCUAGUAGUCC